CUGCGACACGCGGUGGGCGGGUCCUGAGUCGCGACCCUGGUCCGGACCUGACCUGAAUUGCGACCCCAACCUGGACUGCUCCCCUGACCGCAACCCCUACCCCCGCCCACCAGUAUGGCCCGGCACGUGUUCCUAACGGGGCCCCCAGGAGUUGGAAAAACAACAUUGAUCCAUAAAGCCAGUGAGGUUUUAAAAUCCUCUGGUGUGCCUGUUGAUGGAUUUUAUACCGAAGAAGUCAGACAGGGAGGGAGAAGAAUAGGAUUCGAUGUCGUCACGUUGUCCGGCACCCGGGGGCCUUUAUCGAGAGUUGGGUUAGAGCCUCCACCUGGAAAACGUGAAUGCCGAGUUGGGCAGUAUGUGGUCGACCUGACUUCUUUUGAGCAGUUGGCACUACCCGUCUUGAGGAAUGUGAGUACGUGAUUUCUGCUUUUUGAACCCAUCUGCUCUUAGUGUAUUGUGGGAAUUGCUAGCCAUGGAAACAGAAUGCCUUUUGCUCUUAAAGGCCCCAGUUUUGCAUUUUACAAUUGAAAAGAUUGAGUCUUAAUAAGGAUAAACAACAUAAUUUGCUAUCACUCUGAGCUACAGAUAAAUUCCUAUAAAUUCAGUACAUAUAAAUAUUUUAUUUUGGAAAGGCUCUUGAUGCCCAGGUACCAACAUUCCCAAAGAUAAGUCUUUCCUCUGUCUUCUCACAGUCAUGUCUUAACCUGGUUUCACAGCACAACAAACAUUUAGGAAGAGAAAAUGUCAUUAUAUGAACAUAAUAGCCAGUUGUUAUUGAAUGCCUACCAAGUACUGUAAGCAGUUAACGUAUUAUAUUAUUAUAUUACCUUUUUU
Molecule: long non-coding RNA, 834 nt
Filed under: Homo sapiens (human)
Lineage: Eukaryota; Metazoa; Chordata; Mammalia; Primates; Hominidae
Description: long non-coding RNA NONHSAT150762.1
Source: RNAcentral